AGUUUGAUCCUGGCUCAGGAUGAACGCUAGCGGCAGGCUUAACACAUGCAAGUCGAGGGGUAACAGGAAGGAGCUUGCUUCUUCGCUGACGACCGGCGCACGGGUGCGUAACACGUAUGCAACUUACCUCUAACAGGGGGAUAGCCCAGAGAAAUCUGGAUUAAUACCCCAUAACAUUGCGGAUUCACCUGAUUCUGCAAUUAAAGCUCCGGCGGUUAGAGAUAGGCAUGCGGCCCAUUAGUUUGUUGGUAAGGUAACGGCUUACCAAGACUACGAUGGGUAGGGGUUCUGAGAGGAUGACCCCCCACACUGGUACUGAGACACGGACCAGACUCCUACGGGAGGCAGCAGUGAGGAAUAUUGGACAAUGGGCGCAAGCCUGAUCCAGCCAUGCCGCGUGCAGGACGACGGCCCUACGGGUUGUAAACUGCUUUUAUAAGGGAAGAAACUUCCGCUCGUGAGCGGAACUGACGGUACCUUACGAAUAAGCACCGGCUAACUCCGUGCCAGCAGCCGCGGUAAUACGGAGGGUGCAAGCGUUAUCCGGAUUUAUUGGGUUUAAAGGGUCCGUAGGCGGGUCUUUAAGUCAGUGGUGAAAGCCUGCAGCUUAACUGUAGAAUUGCCAUUGAUACUGGAGACCUUGAGUACACUUGAAGUAAGCGGAAUGUGUCAUGUAGCGGUGAAAUGCUUAGAUAUGACCCAGAACACCGAUCGCGAAAGCAGCUUACUAAAUUGUCACUGACGCUGAGGGACGAAAGCGUGGGGAGCGAACAGGAUUAGAUACCCUGGUAGUCCACGCCGUAAACGAUGAUCACUCGAUAUUGGCCUCCGGGCCAGUGUCCAAGCGAAAGUAUUAAGUGAUCCACCUGGGGAGUACGAUCGCAAGAUUGAAACUCAAAGGAAUUGACGGGGGCCCGCACAAGCGGUGGAGCAUGUGGUUUAAUUCGAUGAUACGCGAGGAACCUUACCAGGGCUUAAAUGCAGGACGACCGGUCUGGAAACAGACCUUUCUUCGGACGGUUUGCAAGGUGCUGCAUGGUUGUCGUCAGCUCGUGCCGUGAGGUGUCGGGUUAAGUCCCAUAACGAGCGCAACCCCUAUCUUUAGUUGCCAGCGGGUUAAGCCGGGGACUCUAAAGAAACUGCCAGCGUAAGCUGUGAGGAAGGUGGGGAUGACGUCAAAUCAUCACGGCCCUUACGUCCUGGGCUACACACGUGCUACAAUGGCGGAGACAGUGAGAUGCAAACUCGUGAGGGUGAGCAAAUCUAAAAACUCCGUCUCAGUUCGGAUCGAAGUCUGCAACUCGACUUCGUGAAGCUGGAAUCGCUAGUAAUCGCGUAUCAGCAAUGACGCGGUGAAUACGUUCCCGGGCCUUGUACACACCGCCCGUCAAGCCAUGGAAGCUGGGAGUGCCUGAAGUCGGUCACCGAAAGGAGCUGCCUAGGGCAAAACUGGUAACUGGGGCUAAGUCGUAACAAGGUAGCCGUACCGGAAGGUGUGGCUGGAUCACCU
This 1510-nucleotide ribosomal RNA is filed under the name uncultured prokaryote. Its description in RNAcentral is "partial 16S ribosomal RNA". It matches the Rfam family "Bacterial small subunit ribosomal RNA". The record is from RNAcentral.